Molecule: long non-coding RNA, 713 nt
Organism: Bos taurus (domestic cattle)
Lineage: Eukaryota; Metazoa; Chordata; Mammalia; Artiodactyla; Bovidae
Source: Ensembl
AUUACUUUAAUUUUUCUCCUUUAUUGCAAUACGGCAGUUUCAUUAUUGUUAACAUGUGGUUAAGAUGGUACCUUUUUAUAUGAAGUUUGCUCUAGAUUCUCAAAUUUGGAUUAAUUUAACUUCAGAAUUGAACUUUUUCAAACAUUUCUUUUAAAAUUCGCAUUUAUUUGUGUUAAUAGCCUUUGUCCUAAAAAUUCUCUGGGGCUACUAAUCAGGUGCAGGUUUUACCUUUGGUCCAACAACAGGUGAUCCUUCACUGUUGCUGCAGCAGUUCAGGCAAAUGAAGCAUCAUAAAGAGCAGGGUUUUUACCAGCUUUGCAAGUUCAGGAGGCAUUCACCUGGCUGUUGGAAAUGUUUCUAGGAGGAUCUUAGUCCCCUGACUGAACCCAUGUCCUUUGCAGUGGAAGCAGAGAGUCUUAACUACUGGAUGGCCAGGGAAGUCCCAUCUCAAUAAAUUCAGUUAACAGUCUUCAUCUCAUAUAGAUACAAAAAGAAAAAGAUUUUUUCCUUGUGACGAGAACUCGUAGGAUUUACUCUCUUUCACAACUUUCCUACUGUUAUAACUAAUAUAGAUAAUGUGAUUAACUUGGGAGUUGAAGAUACCCCCAAGGUUUAUAGUUAUUAUUAAAUGGGAAGAAUACAGAAAAGUUUGUCUAUUCCAUCUUUUUGUUUUGUUUUGUUUUUAAAUGAUUUUAUUUAUGGUUGUGCACGGU